This 465-nucleotide ribosomal RNA is filed under the name Triticum aestivum (bread wheat). RNAcentral's name for it is "partial small subunit ribosomal RNA". Lineage: Eukaryota; Viridiplantae; Streptophyta; Magnoliopsida; Poales; Poaceae. The record is from RNAcentral.
CUCAAACUGCAGCCGUACGCUCAAUCUUCCGUCGCCAAUCACCCCUAUCGGAAGCUCUCCUACAAGUUCUAUGGUCCAUUCAUGGUGGCCGCACGGAUCGGAACACUAGCAUAUCGCUUGCAACUACCGGCAGACAGCUGCAUACACUCGGUAUUCCACGUCUCCCAGCUGAAGCCCUUCACUCCUGAUUACACCCCUGUUUUCUCUGAGCUGCCAAGAGUACCUCACCUUGUCACCGGCGAAUCUGAGCCCGUAGCCAUCUUGGAGCGUCACAUGAUGAAGAAAGGAGACGUGCGAGUCAUCCAGUUGCAGAUUCAGUGGUCCAAUAUGCCUCUGGCGGUCACCACCUGGGAGGAUUACGACACCCUCAAGGAACACUACCCUACGGCUUGCAUCUGGGAUGGGGCACCUUCUCAAGGAAGGGACAAUGUCACGACUGCAGAUGACAUAUCUGCAGUGGACUGA